AAGAAAUCAACCGAGAUUCCCCCAGUAGCGGCGAGCGAACGGGGAGCAGCCCAGAGCCUGAAUCAGUAUGUGUGUUAGUGGAAGCGUCUGGAAAGGCGCGCGAUACAGGGUGACAGCCCCGUACACAAAAAUGCACAUGCUGUGAGCUCGAUGAGUAGGGCGGGACACGUGGUAUCCUGUCUGAAUAUGGGGGGACCAUCCUCCAAGGCUAAAUACUCCUGACUGACCGAUAGUGAACCAGUACCGUGAGGGAAAGGCGAAAAGAACCCCGGCGAGGGGAGUGAAAAAGAACCUGAAACCGUGUACGUACAAGCAGUGGGAGCACGCUUAGGCGUGUGACUGCGUACCUUUUGUAUAAUGGGUCAGCGACUUAUAUUCUGUAGCAAGGUUAACCGAAUAGGGGAGCCGAAGGGAAACCGAGUCUUAACUGGGCGUUAAGUUGCAGGGUAUAGACCCGAAACCCGGUGAUCUAGCCAUGGGCAGGUUGAAGGUUGGGUAACACUAACUGGAGGACCGAACCGACUAAUGUUGAAAAAUUAGCGGAUGACUUGUGGCUGGGGGUGAAAGGCCAAUCAAACCGGGAGAUAGCUGGUUCUCCCCGAAAGCUAUUUAGGUAGCGCCUCGUGAAUUCAUCUCCGGGGGUAGAGCACUGUUUCGGCAAGGGGGUCAUCCCGACUUACCAACCCGAUGCAAACUGCGAAUACCGGAGAAUGUUAUCACGGGAGACACACGGCGGGUGCUAACGUCCGUCGUGAAGAGGGAAACAACCCAGACCGCCAGCUAAGGUCCCAAAGUCAUGGUUAAGUGGGAAACGAUGUGGGAAGGCCCAGACAGCCAGGAUGUUGGCUUAGAAGCAGCCAUCAUUUAAAGAAAGCGUAAUAGCUCACUGGUCGAGUCGGCCUGCGCGGAAGAUGUAACGGGGCUAAACCAUGCAC
RNAcentral lists this ribosomal RNA (935 nucleotides) under Escherichia coli. Its description in RNAcentral is "partial 23S ribosomal RNA". It matches the Rfam family "Bacterial large subunit ribosomal RNA", at positions 219 to 1194 of the family's 2925-position model. Lineage: Bacteria; Pseudomonadati; Pseudomonadota; Gammaproteobacteria; Enterobacterales; Enterobacteriaceae. The record is from RNAcentral.